UGAUGACGAUGAGAUGACGAUGAUGGUGAUGCUGCUGCUACUGCUAGUGGUGAUCAUCAUCAUCAUCAUCAUCAUCAUUGGGU
This 83-nucleotide microRNA precursor is filed under the name Anopheles darlingi. RNAcentral's name for it is "microRNA mir-598". The record is from RNAcentral. Lineage: Eukaryota; Metazoa; Arthropoda; Insecta; Diptera; Culicidae.